This 78-nucleotide transfer RNA is filed under the name Cylindrotheca closterium. It matches the Rfam family "tRNA". From Rfam's summary of the family: Transfer RNA (tRNA) molecules are approximately 80 nucleotides in length. Lineage: Eukaryota; Bacillariophyta; Bacillariophyceae; Bacillariales; Bacillariaceae. The record is from RNAcentral.
GGUACCUUGGCCGAGCGGUCUAAGGCGCAACGUUAAGGCCGUUGUCUUCGGGCGUGAGUUCGAAUCUCACAGGUAUCA